GUGGCCUGGGGAGCUUUUCAUUCCUGUGAUCUUGUAGAAGUCUCCUGAUGGUUCCCCAGAGUGUGUCUGGAUCCCAGUCACAGCAUGGACUGUAGCCAGACCACCUGCAGAAUCCCGCUUUGGACAUCAAUGAGCAGAGCAGCGCUGGGGCAUAUGAGAAGCAUGCUCAGGAUCGGGAAGGAACCAGCCAUGUCCGGCCCUGACCUACGGAGAGAGGAGGACCUGGAGGCCUAGGGGAUAAUGGGGAGAUAUUUUGCAGAAAAGGAGAAAGUCUUCCCUGGGAUGGAUUCCAUACUUAGGAAAUCUGUGAGAGGCCGGGCGGAGGCUUUCCUCCCAGGACAGAACAACAGGCUCUCAGAAUCCUACAACACAACAGAGGAGCAUUUCAGAGACCACCGAAGGCUGGCGAGUUCCCCGAGGCUAGUGGGUCCCCAAACAGGAGCAGGAGCCCAGCUGGGGGCUGGCAGGGGCUUGGCGUGCCCACCAGGACUUCCACAUGUAGCACCUGGUUUCUUGGCUUGGUUGAUGGCUUUGAACUGUGCCCGGAGCAUGGUGAAUGCUUUGUCAAUGUUUCUGGAGAGGAUGGAUGGUGGGUUCCCCGUGGUGAGCACGCUGCCUGCCCCUCAGCCACUCCAGCCCCAUGUCCAGUGGUACUAGCAGGUGGGCUGGCCAUAGAGCAGGAGUUCCUAGCAGGCCCUGCCUGAGUUUAUCCAGGACCCAGGCUCCCCGAGUUUCCUCUGGGGUCGCCUGUCUUGCUCCUUUUUGUGCAUACACUAUACCCCUAUGCCAGGGUUCUUCCCCCUGGAAGAACCUUAGACCAGCCCUGCUGCCCCCCAACUGCUGUUGCCCCAGCAAGGACUGGAUUCUGGUAUGUGGCUUUGGGUCUGGGUGGGGGCAUGCACAGGAAGCCCAUCCAAAGCCUCUGUUCCCUGUCACACCCAAGAUCUGACUAAGACCCCUUCCAUCCCUAGGAAAAGCCCUGGGUUUGGGGAUCACAGAGAACAAUGCCAGACCAGGGGCAAUGCUUGACCUCAGGGCUGGACAGGUGGACGGUGCCUCUGUGAUCAGCAGAGGUGGUGAGAAUGGAAAGGCAGUGGCCAGGGGACAGCAGGCUUUUUAGAUCACCCUCGUGCCCUCCCCACUGGGUGGUCAGGAUGGCGGCUAAGCCUGCCUUCUGGUGGUGGCCCCUCCACCCCGGGGUGGAUCACUGCACUCAGAGGAAGACAGAGAGGCUGUGUGACCUGGAGCAAGUUGCUUCACACUCUGUGCUGACUCACUUUCCUCUCUUUUUAAGAAGGAGUGUGGUGAUGGCUGCCUGGCAGGAUCUUCUGUUUGAGAUAAUGUGGCUCCUGGCACAUAGCAGGUGCUCAGUAGGAAAAUGCCUUGUGCCCGCACCCCUCCCAGGUGCAGCCUUCCCUACAGAGCAAGCUGGCAGCCUCCAACUGAGCCUGUCCUUGGGACUGUGUUCCUCCUGCCUCCAGGACCCCAGGGCCCCGGGAGGGCACUGGCGCCCUGGCCUGUUUCUGCUCUGAAUGAAGUGGCAUCAUUGCUUGCUAGCAUUUGUGAGGGUUAUUGUCUGAAAGCUACCUUUGCCCUUUGCCCCUCCUGUGAGGGCGCCAUGACCCUUCUACAGAUGGCUCCUGCCCUGCGAUGAGGUGACUCACCCAGCGUCACCCAGCUGGCCACUCACCUGGACCCUCUCUGGUCACUGCACAUGGUAACACCGGUUCAUGCACCCGUGCCUCCUCAGGUGACACAGAACUGUGUGCUCUUCCUUCUGAGGAGGGACGCUUCCAGAGGCACUUCAAGGCAGCCAGGAGGGGUGUCCCAAGGGCCCAAGGCAACAUGUGGCACCUUCUAACUCCAAGAGGCCUGCCCAGGGUCACAGUGGGCAAAUGGCAACAGAAUGCCCCACGUGAACCUCCUAGUCCACUCCUGUCUGCUCUGGAAGCUGUCCCUGUCCCCUGGGCUGUCCCUUCACAGGGUCACUGUUCCUCUGGCAGCUGACCAAGGGCUUAUCAUACGCAUAAAUAAAGUGACAGUUACUUCAGUUACUUUCUUCCUUACUACAAAAGUAUUGUAGAGUCACUAGAGAAAAUUUAAGUAAAUAAAAAUAACCAAAUUAAUCUCCAAUAAAAUAGAACCAACUUGCAUUUUAACAUAUAAUUUCCUAGUACAUUUUCUGUGUGUGUGUGUGUACAUAUAUAUGGAGAUUUUAUUUUAGAGGCUAUUUCCCAACUUGCUCUUUUAGUUAAAACUGUUCCAUGAGCAUAUUUUUUUAAAUUUAAUAUUCUUUGACAAUAAACUUUG
Non-coding RNA from Marmota flaviventris (yellow-bellied marmot), 2310 nucleotides. The record is from RefSeq and is a predicted model, not a curated record. NCBI's taxonomy places the organism in Eukaryota, Metazoa, Chordata, Mammalia, Rodentia, Sciuridae.